UAAGAAGUUCGAGAUUGAUAACACCGAGACAGAUGGGCCAUUGAUUCUAAUAGGUUUGAAAAACUCAGGAGUUCAUCUCCAGGAUAUGGCAUGGAAUGUCACCAAAUAAUGAACUCCAGAGGCCUACCAAAAGAACUGUUCACCCACAUCACAGCCACAGAAUUUCUGUCAUUGCUACCCAGAGCAGUUUGAGACAGAAAACAGCUGAAGCCAACAGUAAGUGGGCGGGCCGGAGGUGAAUCAGCAGCUAAAUUUGUAAUCGCUCUCUUUCACACACACACACACACAC
Molecule: long non-coding RNA, 289 nt
Organism: Sinocyclocheilus grahami
Lineage: Eukaryota; Metazoa; Chordata; Actinopteri; Cypriniformes; Cyprinidae
Exons: 3
Source: RefSeq, a predicted model, not a curated record